Long non-coding RNA from Ooceraea biroi (clonal raider ant), 391 nucleotides. RefSeq lists it as uncharacterized. NCBI's taxonomy places the organism in Eukaryota, Metazoa, Arthropoda, Insecta, Hymenoptera, Formicidae. The record is from RefSeq and is a predicted model, not a curated record.
UUGGUUAUAGAGAUACCUAAGUGUCUCUAAUUGGUUACAAUAGUUCCGCGCACGCUACGAAAAAUAUGACGGCUCGUAUUAAAAUCCUCUUUAGAUGUGAUCGAGCAUUGGCAGGAGAAAAGUGGGAGCAUUGCGAUGCGGUUCAGUGCUGGUAAGAAGAACGAAUCCAUCGAUUACAUUUCUUACAUCUAACAAUUAGAGAUUUAACAAUGGUAAAGGUAUCUUCAGGUAUCUCAAAUUAAUUUAAUGCUAGAUAUUAUUGUCUAGAUAUGUCAAUUGUUUAAAUAUACCAUCAAUGUAGUUUAAUCUGAUCCACUCCUAACACGCAAACUAUUUACAUAAAUUAAAAGGCUGUAGGCACAUUAAAAAUACAUAAAGAAAAAAAAAAAAA